This 240-nucleotide ribosomal RNA is filed under the name uncultured bacterium. Its description in RNAcentral is "partial 16S ribosomal RNA". It matches the Rfam family "Bacterial small subunit ribosomal RNA", at positions 15 to 244 of the family's 1533-position model. The record is from RNAcentral.
GAUCAUGGCUCAGGAUGAACGCUAGCGGCAGGCCUAACACAUGCAAGUCGAGGGGCAUCGGGAUUGAAGCUUGCUUCAAUUGCCGGCGACCGGCGCACGGGUGCGUAACGCGUAUGUAACCUACCUAUAACAGGGGCAUAACACUGAGAAAUUGGUACUAAUUCCCCACUAAUAUUCGGAGAGGCAUCUCUCCGGGUUGGAAAACUACCGGUGGUUAUAGAUGGACAUGCGUUGUAUUAG